CUUUGGGAUAACCCUCGGAACCGGGGGCUAUUCCGGAAUAUCACCUUUCACCGCAUGGUGGGGGUGUGGAAAGUUUUUCGGCUGGGGAUGGGCUCGCGGCCUAUCAGCUUGUUGGUGGGGUGAUGGCCUACCAAGGCGACGACGGGUAGCCGGCCUGAGAGGGCGACCGGCCACACUGGGACUGAGACACGGCCCAGACUCCUACGGGAGGCAGCAGUGGGGAAUAUUGCACAAUGGGCGGAAGCCUGAUGCAGCGACGCCGCGUGAGGGAUGACGGCCUUCGGGUUGUAAACCUCUUUCGGCAGGGACGAAGCGUAAGUGACGGUACCUGCAGAAGAAGCGCCGGCCAACUACGUGCCAGCAGCCGCGGUAAGACGUAGGGCGCGAGCGUUGUCCGGAUUUAUUGGGCGUAAAGAGCUCGUAGGCGGUUUGUCGCGUCGACUGUGAAAACCCACAGCCCAACUGUGGGCUUGCAGUCGAUACGGGCAGGCUAGAGUUCGGUAGGGGAGACUGGAAUUCCUGGUGUAGCGGUGAAAUGCGCAGAUAUCAGGAGGAACACCGGUGGCGAAGGCGGGUCUCUGGGCCGAUACUGACGCUGAGGAGCGAAAGCGUGGGGAGCGAACAGGAUUAGAUACCCUGGUAGUCCACGCUGUAAACGUUGGGCGC
This 666-nucleotide ribosomal RNA is filed under the name uncultured Micromonosporaceae bacterium. Its description in RNAcentral is "bacterial SSU rRNA". It matches the Rfam family "Bacterial small subunit ribosomal RNA", at positions 136 to 816 of the family's 1533-position model. Lineage: Bacteria; Bacillati; Actinomycetota; Actinomycetes; Micromonosporales; Micromonosporaceae. The record is from RNAcentral.